RNAcentral lists this ribosomal RNA (463 nucleotides) under uncultured bacterium. Its description in RNAcentral is "partial 16S ribosomal RNA". It matches the Rfam family "Bacterial small subunit ribosomal RNA", at positions 339 to 795 of the family's 1533-position model. The record is from RNAcentral.
CUACGGGUGGCUGCAGUGGGGAAUAUUGCACAAUGGGCGCAAGCCUGAUGCAGCCAUGCCGCGUGUAUGAAGAAGGCCUUCGGGUUGUAAAGUACUUUCAGCGGGGAGGAAGGGAGUAAAGUUAAUACCUUUGCUCAUUGACGUUACCCGAAGAAGAAGCACCGGCUAACUCCGUGCCAGCAGCCGCGGUAAUACGGAGGGUGCAAGCGUUAAUCGGAAUUACUGGGCGUAAAGCGCACGCAGGCGGUUUGUUAAGUCAGAUGUGAAAUCCCCGGGCUCAACCUGGGAACUGCAUCCGUACUGGCAAGCUUGAGUGUCGUAGAGGGGGGUAGAAUUCCAGGUGUAGCGGUGAAAUGCGUAGAGAUCUGGAGGAAUACCGGUGGCGAAGGCAGCCCCCUGGACGAAGACUGACGCUCAGGUGCGAAAGCGUGGGGAGCAAACAGGAUUAGAUACCCCCGUAGUC